RNAcentral lists this long non-coding RNA (1648 nucleotides) under Homo sapiens (human). Its description in RNAcentral is "non-protein coding THAP9-AS1:42". Lineage: Eukaryota; Metazoa; Chordata; Mammalia; Primates; Hominidae. The record is from RNAcentral.
ACAAUCUGGCGCCAUCGUCCUUCUUGUGAGGCCAAGCCUGAAAAUGCGAAGCAGAGAGGCAGGACCAAAAUUGAGGCGAAUCCAGGAACCUGCCAAUGGGUCUCCGGGUGCGGUCUCUGAAACUGGAGGAUAUCGGGAGGAAAGGCUCUCCGAUGCGGAGAUAAUGGGGAAGCUCUUGGCAUGGUUGGCUGUAGGUAUGUGAUACCGGAGGAGCAGGAGUCAAAUAGGAUACGCCGACUUUUAAUUCAAGGAACCCUUUUCUGAAACACUUUGCCACAAUGAAGGAAAUAAGGAAUAAAAUUGAAGGGUGUUUUUCUUAGAGAACAUCAUUUGUCAUAUUUAUUUGAUCAAGAAGUUGAAGAUUUAUAUAAUAAGGAUCUAGUUUGAAGCACUAAGAAGAAUAAGACAUCAGUUUGAAAAGAGGCUCUAUCAGAACAACACGAAUUCUGCUAAAAUUGAAGCAAGAACAAACAUCAAAUAUAUGUUGACACUUGGGUGGAAGAAUGGUGAACUAAUUGAUGCUUUAUGAAAAGUUGAUAGGGACAGUGCUCCAAAGAAAUCAGUUUACAAAUGGAUAACUCGUUUUAAGAAGGCAUAAGGUAAUGUUGAAGAAGAAGCCCACAGUGGCAGAUCAUCCACAUCAGUUUGUGAGAAAAAAGUUAGUUCAUGGCGUAAUUGAAGAAAACCAACAAUUAACAGCAGAAACAACAGCCAACACCAUAGACAUCUCAGUUGGUUCACCUUACACAAUUUUGACUGGAAAAGUUCAGCAAACUUUAUACCUGAUAGGUACCAAAACCAUUGCACCCAGAUCAGCUACAGACAAGAAUAGAGCUUUCAAUGGAAAUUUUAAAUAAGUGGGAUCAGGAUCUUGAAGCCUUUCAUUGAAAAAUUGUAACAGGAGAUGAAACAUGGCUUUACCAGCGCAAUCCUGAAGACAAAACACAAAGCAGUGGUUACCAAGAUAAGUAGUUCAGUUAAAGCACAAGAGGACUGGUUGAGAGCAAAGGUCAUGGCAACAGCUUUUGAAUGCUCAAGGCAUUUUGCUUGUUGACUUUCUGUAGGGCCAAAGAAUGGUAACGUGCUUAUCAUGGGAGUGUUUUGAGAAACUUAGCCAAAGCUUCAGCAGAAAAAUCCCCGAGAAAGACCAGAGAGUUCUUCACCACAACAAUGUUCCUGCUCAUCCCUCUCAUCAAACAAGGCCAUUUUGCAAGAGUUUUGAUGGGAAAUCACUAGGCAUCCACCCUACAGUCCUGGUUUGGCACCUUCUGACUUUUUGUUUCCUAAUCUUAAAAAAAUUUUUCAGGGCAGUACAUUUUUCUCAAGUUAAUGUAUAAAGAAACUGCAUUGAUGUAGAUAAAUUCCCAGAACUCUCAGUUCUUUAGGGAUGGACUAAAUAGCUGGUAUCAUCACUUACAAAAGUGUCUUGAAUGCUAUAGAGCUAAUGUUCAAAAAUAUAGUUUAUAUUUUUUAUCUUUUAACCAUUUUUCCACAAACUUUUUGAAGUCUCCUUGAAUAUGUACCAUUUAUAAAGGGGAAAAAUUCUGUGACUACUCAUGUUGACUUAAUGCUGACUUAAUUUUCUGUUUUGUAAAUAUAUACAAACAAGUUGAUACAAAUUUUGUUUAUAGCCCUUAAACAAAUUUGU